Molecule: RNase P RNA, 258 nt
Filed under: Paenibacillus sp. OT2-17
Lineage: Bacteria; Bacillati; Bacillota; Bacilli; Caryophanales; Paenibacillaceae
Description: partial RNase P RNA component class A
Rfam family: Bacterial RNase P class A
About the family: Ribonuclease P (RNase P) is a ubiquitous endoribonuclease, found in archaea, bacteria and eukarya as well as chloroplasts and mitochondria. Its best characterised activity is the generation of mature 5'-ends of tRNAs by cleaving the 5'-leader elements of precursor-tRNAs. Cellular RNase Ps are ribonucleoproteins.
Source: RNAcentral
CAGGCAAGGAUGGAACCGAGGUGUAAGAGACCCCGAGGAACGCUGGUGACUUCGUUCCUGGUAAACCCCAUCUGGAGCAAGACCUAAUGGGACACAGCUUCUUCGCGAAGCAGCCUUAGCCCGAGGCGUGUCUAGGUUGGUCGCUGGAGCUGGAUAGCAAUGUUCGGCCUAGAUAGAUGAUUGUCGCUUGUAGUGGGAGGGUAGUUCCCGUCUGUACCACGAAUAGCACAGAACCCGGCUUACGGAAAACUUUCCCCA